Molecule: ribosomal RNA, 497 nt
Filed under: uncultured bacterium
Lineage: Bacteria
Description: partial 16S ribosomal RNA
Rfam family: Bacterial small subunit ribosomal RNA
Source: RNAcentral
GAUGAACGCUGGCGGCGUGCCUAAUACAUGCAAGUCGAGCGAACGGACGAGAAGCUUGCUUCUCUGAUGUUAGCGGCGGACGGGUGAGUAACACGUGGAUAACCUACCUAUAAGACUGGGAUAACUUCGGGAAACCGGAGCUAAUACCGGAUAAUAUUUUGAACCGCAUGGUUCAAAAGUGAAAGACGGUCUUGCUGUCACUUAUAGAUGGAUCCGCGCUGCAUUAGCUAGUUGGUAAGGUAACGGCUUACCAAGGCAACGAUGCAUAGCCGACCUGAGAGGGGGUGCGGCCACACUGGAACUGAGACACGGUCCAGACUCCUACGGGAGGCAGCAGUAGGGAAUCUUCCGCAAUGGGCGAAAGCCUGACGGAGCAACGCCGCGUGAGUGAUGAAGGUCUUCGGAUCGUAAAACUCUGUUAUUAGGGAAGAACAUAUGUGUAAGUAACUGUGCACAUCUUGACGGUACCUAAUCAGAAAGCCACGGCUAACUACGUG